UCGGGCGGUAGCACAGAGAGCUUGCUCUCGGGUGACGAGCGGCGGACGGGUGAGUAAUGUCUGGGAAACUGCCUGAUGGAGGGGGAUAACUACUGGAAACGGUAGCUAAUACCGCAUAACGUCGCAAGACCAAAGAGGGGGACCUUCGGGCCUCUUGCCAUCAGAUGUGCCCAGAUGGGAUUAGCUAGUAGGUGGGGUAACGGCUCACCUAGGCGACGAUCCCUAGCUGGUCUGAGAGGAUGACCAGCCACACUGGAACUGAGACACGGUCCAGACUCCUACGGGAGGCAGCAGUGGGGAAUAUUGCACAAUGGGCGCAAGCCUGAUGCAGCCAUGCCGCGUGUAUGAAGAAGGCCUUCGGGUUGUAAAGUACUUUCAGCGGGGAGGAAGGUGUUGUGGUUAAUAACCACAGCAAUUGACGUUACCCGCAGAAGAAGCACCGGCUAACUCCGUGCCAGCAGCCGCGGUAAUACGGAGGGUGCAAGCGUUAAUCGGAAUUACUGGGCGUAAAGCGCACGCAGGCGGUCUGUCAAGUCGGAUGUGAAAUCCCCGGGCUCAACCUGGGAACUGCAUUCGAAACUGGCAGGCUAGAGUCUUGUAGAGGGGGGUAGAAUUCCAGGUGUAGCGGUGAAAUGCGUA
RNAcentral lists this ribosomal RNA (639 nucleotides) under Enterobacter sp. CIR9A. RNAcentral describes it as "bacterial SSU rRNA". It matches the Rfam family "Bacterial small subunit ribosomal RNA", at positions 62 to 692 of the family's 1533-position model. The record is from RNAcentral. Lineage: Bacteria; Pseudomonadati; Pseudomonadota; Gammaproteobacteria; Enterobacterales; Enterobacteriaceae.